UUCUUCUUCCUCUUCCAAAUAACAAGAGUUUGGAGUUCCUCGAACUGUUGACCAGUUCUGCACACUGGUGCCCCAAGUCCUCCUUUGGUUACUGUUCAAAACAUCCAACCAGUAUCCCCUCCGGCUGCAAUUGCCAAGACCUCCAAGCAAAGUCCAUCUGCAGCCCCUUUUCAUAAGGCUUUUUUGGAGACCAGGAAGCAGUGUGACCAGAGCCUUCUACUUCAGGUUACACACACCGAGGACCCUUCCCGGGUGUCUGAGGAAAGGACCAGUGACCUGCCACAUCUGCACAGACUGAAGUCUGCCUAUGCCCACAAACUUGCAAUCCUUCCAUUUUUAGUCUUUGUUGGCCGGAUAAAAA
This is a non-coding RNA of Heterocephalus glaber (naked mole-rat), 361 nucleotides long. The record is from RefSeq and is a predicted model, not a curated record. NCBI's taxonomy places the organism in Eukaryota, Metazoa, Chordata, Mammalia, Rodentia, Bathyergidae.